AGGACGAACGCUGGCGGCGUGCCUAAUACAUGCAAGUCGAACGGUCUUUCUAUGGAAGCUUGCUUCCACUGAGAAGAUAGUGGCGAACGGGUGAGUAACACGUGGGUAACCUGCCCAUAAGAGGGGGGAUAACAUCCGGAAACGGGUGCUAAUACCGCAUAGUUUCUUGAUCGCAUGAUCGGGAAAGGAAAGACGGCCUUUGUGCUGUCGCUUAUGGAUGGACCCGCGGCGUAUUAGUUAGUUGGUGAGGUAACGGCUCACCAAGACGAUGAUACGUAGCCGACCUGAGAGGGUGAUCGGCCACAUUGGGACUGAGACACGGCCCAAACUCCUACGGGAGGCAGCAGUAGGGAAUCUUCCGCAAUGGACGAAAGUCUGACGGAGCAACGCCGCGUGAGUGAAGAAAAGGUUUUCGGAUCGUAAAACUCUGUUGUCAGAGAAGAACAAGUUGGAGAGUAACUGCUCCAGCCUUGACGGUAUCUGACCAGAAAGCCACGGCUAACUACGUGCCAGCAGCGGC
Molecule: ribosomal RNA, 520 nt
Filed under: uncultured bacterium
Lineage: Bacteria
Description: bacterial SSU rRNA
Rfam family: Bacterial small subunit ribosomal RNA
Source: RNAcentral